This 605-nucleotide long non-coding RNA is filed under the name Anser brachyrhynchus (Pink-footed goose). RNAcentral describes it as "lncRNA (ENSABRG00000022068.1)". Lineage: Eukaryota; Metazoa; Chordata; Aves; Anseriformes; Anatidae. The record is from RNAcentral.
GCUGAGAGGACUUUUUUUCUCCCUCUGAUGAUAGAAAUGAAAGAACCCCGCCACUCCCCAACCUAUACUGUAAGAAAUCUGCUCUGGUUACCAAAUUCACACAUAAUGUCUUCAGUGCAAGACAAAUUUCAGUAUAUGCAAGAUUAAGAGAGGCAUUUUGGAUGAAAUUAUUGUUAAGUGCUUAUGAAAAGAAAACAUAAGUCCGGAGGGGCUUACCUGUCCCCCACAAGCCUCGUUUCGUGACAGGUUAAACCCACCUGUCCUUUGACAGCAGUGUGCUUGAACUUCUUUCACCUUUCCACUGUAUUUCGCAGCUGUAUUUCUUUGCAGCUGGCAUUUCAUUGUGCUAAAUGAGUUCUUUUAGUCUUUUUUUCAUGUUGUCUUGGGGGACAGACUCCAGUUGCCCUCCUGCUUCCCCUGUGUCUGGUCCUGAUGGAGAUCUGGGAAGCAGCUUUGUAGCUAUAUUCUACAGAAGGUGCCACCUCAGGCUCUGCAUCAAAUACCAGAAGCCCCAAGUCUUGGCACAUGCAGCAUUUUCAGGAGAAGAAUUGCAAACAGAACAGAAAUGUGCUUCUGCCACUGUAUGGUUCAGAGUAUUCCUGUAA